Molecule: long non-coding RNA, 19736 nt
Filed under: Prunus persica (peach)
Lineage: Eukaryota; Viridiplantae; Streptophyta; Magnoliopsida; Rosales; Rosaceae
Description: long non-coding RNA (PPER_LNC000164)
Source: RNAcentral
UGGGAUCCAUUUCUUGUGGGUGUGAACACUCCCCUGCUUUUGCAAGAAAAGAAAGGGGAAAGUGAUAGAAAACUUCACUAGUUGACUUGUUUAUCUUGGAUAGUUCCUAGUUGCCAAGUUACAACUUGCUUCUGUACAAAUUAUUUGCUGCAAACUGCAGUUUAUGUGUCAAGUUGUUGAAUCUUUUUUUCAUUUUUUUUUUUUUAGUACAAGUAAUAGUCUAAACUACAACAAAGAGAAAAUUUCUCACACAUACACAAUUAAGAUGUCAUAAAAGUUGGAACCUAAGACGUCUUAUCCCAUUGCUCCUCUCUCUUCUAUAUGUUGCUUCACGUGCAACGUCUAAAAGUUUUCUUUGUUGGGUAUAGGAUUUAAAAAUGAUUUGUUGGGCCUAGAGCUUUUUGGGUCGGCCUGAGAAAUACUACGCCUGGACCCAAUAAAAUCUAAAUCCGUUCAAACCCAACCAAAAACUCGAACCCUAUCCAAAACAUUGAUAUUUUCUCAACUUUCUUUUGCCAUUGUUUUUUGGGUUUCUAAACUAUAAGCUUGAAGUUUUUUCGGUUUUUACUUUCAAUUUUUGUUGUAAGUACUAUUUUUAUCCUAAAUUCAAGGUGUAUAUAAACUAUAAGUGGGCUCCCCCUUCCCCUCCCUGCUUGACACCCAGGAUCGAAAUCCCAAAGGGUUUCUUUCCUCCCAAUGUAACUUUAAAAAAAAAAAAGUUGUUUGAAUCAUAUUUUAAAAUGAAUGUUUUGAGGAUUUAAUAUGUUCAAUAUUUCCUUUUAACAUUCGAAAUAUACUAAGAUAGUGUUAAGAACAUCAGACAUAUUUUAUAGAAUAUUUGAGCACAUAUCCUUUUAAAUUUGUAACUUUGGCAUCAUAUUUUAAUCAAGCAAGUUGUAGCUAAUUUUUUAUCUUAUAAAAAAAAAAAAAAAAAAGUUGCGAUCCAAAAAAACUAAGGGAAUCAACUUAUGACAUUCCUCACCACGCCAAAACCAAAUAAUAUUCUAGACGGCAUGGCAGAAACAGGUAAAACUCAGAAUAGAUGUAUUAUAUGAGUUUUACUACUCACCUGAGCAGUGUCAUUCUCAGCAAGGCUUCGACGGACACCCUCCCCAAAAAGAUAUUCGCCGGAAAAAGCAUCGGCCACGCAAGAAAACAUAACCAAGGCAGCAAAGCCUAGAGGAAUAACACCACCAUUGAGGCCCAUGAUGUCAGAUAUUCUUGCAUUGGCCAUAUUGGGGUGGCCUCUGUAACAUAGAAGGACCUCAAGGAAGAACCCAAGCCCUUCUAUGUAGGGAUUUUGUUUCUAAAAAUCCUUUUCAACUAUGGAAAUGCAUGCCUCUAUAUAACCAUUGCCAUGUUUGUCUGUCCUGCUUCUCUCUGCCUAAAAAUAGCCCCUCUACAUGUCCAUUUUUAGAAGCUCCCAACGGAAAACUAUCCAGAAAAAGAUGAUGAUUAUUUCUAUGUUUAGUUAUGUCCUUAACUUCUGGCAACCUAGUCUUCUCUGGAAUAGCAAAGCGAAUACCUUUUUUUAGGGAAAAUUGGGUGCUCGAGCCCAAACAAAAGAGAAUUUCUACAAAAUAAAUUAACAAUUUUUUUUCUUUCUAUUAUUCCUAUUAUACCUUGUUUCACACACUAUGUGACGAUUUCCUUUUUAUAUUUAAAACGGGUUGGACCAGAUUUUUAUUGGUAGCGGAAGUUAAAUUUUUAUUGGGACCAGAUUUUUUAUAUAAUCAAUCCACAAGUUUAAAAUGUUGUUUAUCAAUAGCCUUACACGAGUUUCACAGAGCAGCUAAAUUCAAAAACGCAACUCCCCUUUUCCAUCAAAGGGUACUUUCAGCAAUGGUGAUACGAAGUUACCAAGAGUCCAUCCCACGUAAAAACGACAAAGUUAAUGGGGAUAUUCGGAUGCAGUGCGUGUAUUUCUAAUUUGCUAUGGAUUUUAGACUAUUUUUAAUAGGGUUUUGUUUUCUAUUUAUUGUAAACUUGCAGUCCAUAAGCUUAUGAGUAUAUAUAAAUAGGAUUUUUGGGGGCCAGGUUAAAGUGAGAGAGAUCACAAAGGCAUCAAAUUGGGUUUGAGUUUCCUCCAGUACUGAUGAAUCUCUAAAUGAUGCUGAUUGAUAUCAUGAUCUCCAAAUGACGGUUAUGUGGGACAUUCGGAAUAUAUAUGUCGCCAAGGCUUGGGCGACAUGCAAGUGUAACAGCUUGCGUGUAUAGCUUGAGGAUGUGGGCUAUCGUGGACGCUAAAGGAAUGACCAACAGAAGUGUGGGUAAACCGAUGGUGUGUUGGAUCGCUAUGUCUUGACAUGGACAUGAGCGAGACAUGAGGAAAGCAUGCGACGUGGUCGAUGCAGUUGACGUGUCUUAUGCAACGCUUGAUGUAUGGGCGUCAAGGGUUCGUUGCCGGAUGCGGGAUGAUUGUAUUGUCAUACGGUAGUGUGACUCGUUGUCUAGUGGAAGACGACACUUGAAGGUAAACCUCUCGCGGAGUUGUGAGAGUCAUGAAUAUCAUGAAAGGGAGAAGGCUGACCAGGAUUCGAAGGGAUCCUGGGCCGCACGGGUGUGCUUUGAGUGGCGAAAUGUGUGUUUCGCUUCCGCCGCGCCGCGCCGCUCGCUCAUCCCGUGACAAGUGGUAUCAGAGCGAAAGCUCUAGUAGUUCAGAGAAGGAUGUCGAAGAACUGAUCGAUUCAGAUGGUGGUUUCUGUGUGAGAGAUUCGUACCUAGAAGAGAUUGGUGAUGAGAAACUUUGAUAGCCAGGUAGCAAGUCAUUACCUGUGAUGGGUAGUGGACUUGUGAAGUUGGAUGAAGAACCCAACGUCACUGUAGAUGAUUGUUGGAAUCAGGUUGUGUGACGGUUGAUGGAAACCCGUCUUGGUGCUGGAUCCUACGGAAGGGUGAAGGUAUCCAAAAGUUUGCCUCGAAGUUUUGAGAAGACAUCAAGCAGAAUGACUCUAAGAUGUGGGAUGAUGGUUGGUGUUGCUACUCGGUUGCCUAGUUUUCUAAUCCGUGCACCAAGCGCCCGGAAGUCGGGUAGGCAGGGGUACUGGCUUGUGAAGUGAUGUAGCUUGUUCAGUUCAGGAUGUGGGGAGGAUGGGAGCGCGAGUUUGGUGAGAGUGUUGAAGAUUGACUAGCACUCGAACCGUGGCAUACCAUUGAAGGUUGUGACAAACUUUGUUGGUAACAAGUGUUGAGCAGACGGUGCGAGACCUUUGUUCAGGGAAGAUUUGUGAGGGCUGAAGGCCGAAAGGGGGCUGCCUUGUAAGGAAGUAAGUCACUGACGGACUAGGCUCCGUUGAGGGAGUAAGUUGCUGAUGGACUAGGCUUUAAUGAAGGAGUCGCUCGAGUGGUUGCUCUUGCAAUUGUGGAGAACGUGUGGGUGAAGUGCAAUGUUUGACACAAGGUUGCUGACUAAUAUUCGGAAUGCAGGAGUGUUCCAAAAGUGGAUCCCAGAGUCUUUCUUGCGAAGAUGGUGGCUAAGGACACAGUACGUCCGCACUUGAUGGGAGGCCAAAGAUGAAGUAACUUAAGGGAGGAUGUCUUACUUGGUCCCUUGUGGAUGCUAUAGAAGUAUGUUCUACCGAGUUCAGGUUUGGGCGAUGUUAGGUGGUUCUACUUGUAGUAGGGAUGACAUCAAACCUUGGUGAAGUGUGAAGGCCUAAAGUGUAGUAGAGCUUCACUUCGGAGGCACGUUGACGAGAUAAGUGGGGGAGACCCACGAAUGCCAUUGAGGUAUGGCAGCGCACAUGCGCAAGACAGAUGCUACAGAAGUAACUGAGGGAGGAUGUCUUACUUGUUCCCUUGUGGAUGCUACGGAGGUAGGUUCUACCGAGUUCAAGUUUGGGCGAUGUUAGGUGGUUCUACUUGUAGUAGGGAUGACAUCAAACCUUGGUGAAGUGAGAAGGUCUAAAGCAUAGUAGAGCUUCGCUUUGGAGGUAUGUUGAUGUGAGGGUGCGUCGACGAGAUAAGUGGGGGAGACCCACGAACGCCAUUGAGGUAUGGCAACGCACCUGCACAAAACAAGUUGAGAAGCCUUGGAGGGGACACAGUUGACAAAGUGAUGUUGCGUGUUCCGGGCUAAGGUUUGAGGAAGAUGGCAGUGUGAGUUUGGUGAGAGUGCUGGAGGUAGGCUAUACUCGAACCAUAGCAUGUCAUCGACAAUUGGGUUGAAUUCAGUUGGUGAUGAGUGUUGAACGAAUGGUGCAAGACCUUGUUCGGGGAAAAGUUGUGGAAGCUCAAGACCGAAAUGGUGCAGUCUUCGAAGGGAGUAAGUCGCUGAUGAACUAGGCUCCAUUGAGGGAGUAAGUUACUGACGGGCUAGGCUUUAGUGAGGAAGUCACUUAAGUGGUUGCUUUUACAAUUGUUGAGAACAGGUGGGAGAGGCACAAUGUUUGACAUGAGUUUGCUAAUUGAUAUCCGGAACGAUGGAGUGUUCCAAAAUAGGGGGAUCCCGAAAUCUUACUUGGAGGCAUGGUUGCUAAGGACAUGGAGUAUGUCCGCACUUGAGGGCAGACAAAGUUGGAGUAACUUGGGGGUUGACAUCUUACUUGUUCCUGUGUGGAUGCUAUAGAAGUGGUUCUGCCGAGUCCGAGUUUAGGGCGUUGGUAGUCAGGUGGUUCUACUCGUAGUAGGGAUGAUGUUUGACCUUGGUGAAUUGUGGUGGCCUAAGUGUUGUGGAACUUUGCUAUGGAGGCACCCUGAGGUGAAUGGUGUGCCGACGAGAUAAGUAGGGAAGAACCUUGAAUGCCAUGAAAGGUAUGGCGGUGCAGAUGCACGAAAUAGAGGUGCCGUGGAGGACACACGGUUGUCUUGCGAGUCACACCCAAGCGGGGUGCAUCUCUUUGAAUGUGGAAAAUGUGGAAGUGCUUGACCAACGAACUAUGUGAUUGUUCAAAAGGUUGAGUGCGACAAGAGACAGAGGUCUCGGCCCAAGAAUAGGGAAAGGAGAACAACUUUGAAAGAGAAAGUUGAAAAGGGUUAAGGCAGUGGUGCUUUGUGGUCCUUGGAGCGAAGAGAAGAGGAUACUCCUAUAUGGUGUUGUUAUGCAGCGAUGCAAUGGGCAAGUCGACGAGGACGUCGCCAUUAUCAGUGGGGGAGAAUGUCACGGAUCGCACAUAAGUGAGUGCUAUCGUGAUUCCGAAGUCGGCAGUGCAGUGGGGCACGUCGACGAGGACGUCGACAUUAUCAGUGGGGGAGAAUGUCACGGGUCGCAUUUAGACAAGUGCUACCGUGACUCCGUUGGGACAUCUAUGCGCCUAUGAAGUAGUCUAAGUGUGGACGGGCGAUAGCUUAAGAGCUAGAAUGGUUGGUGUUGGCCAAGUUGCACUUGUGAAGGGUAUUUUGGGUAUUUCCGAAGGUUACGAGAGGAACCUGAGGGAACCAAGAAUACCGAAAUGUUCGUGAUGUCGAGACGCAGGAAACGCAACUGACGGUUCGCCAUUCGGAGUUCGUAUGAAAGAGUUAUGCCCAAUUAUGACUCCUCGUGCAUAGGUGAUGUUUCCUCCUGGCAGAAGGCUAAAUGCAUAAAAUGCUAUAUAGGGGGUGACAUGGUGUCAUGCUCUCCACCACCCCUGGUGCUUACACCCUUGUGGCACUAAGCGAGCAUCCUUAUGACAUUGGAGAUAGUCAUGAGGGCGGGCAUAAGAUUGUUGAAGGAUAAUCUGUGCCUCCGAGGGAAAGGAAUUCCCGAGGACAGUACGAACACGCAGGGCCGUUCGUAUUGCGCAUCGUUGGAAAGAGUGAGGUCAACGUAUGGCAUUCGCUAUGCCAUCGGCUAGCGAGGCAUAUGACAAUACUCGAUGGACUUGGCUUGGGUUCGGCCUUGUCUAAUAUUGAAGGACGAUAUUCGGAUGCCGGUACGCAUGGGUUGCGACCUCAUGCAAUGCAUAGACGGUUAUGUGGGACAUUCGGAAUAUAUAUGUCGCCAAGGCUUGGGCGACAUGCAAGUGUAACAGCUUGCGUGUAUAGCUUGAGGAUGUGGGCUAUCGUGGACGCUAAAGGAAUGACCAACAGAAGUGUGGGUAAACCGAUGGUGUGUUGGAUCGCUAUGUCUUGACAUGGACAUGAGCGAGACAUGAGGAAAGCAUGCGACGUGGUCGAUGCAGUUGACGUGUCUUAUGCAACGCUUGAUGUAUGGGCGUCAAGGGUUCGUUGCCGGAUGCGGGGUGAUUGUAUUGUCAUACGGUAGUGUGACUCGUUGUCUAGUGGAAGACGACACUUGAAGGUAAACCUCUCGCGGAGUUGUGAGAGUCAUGAAUAUCAUGAAAGGGAGAAGGCUGACCAGGAUUCGAAGGGAUCCUGGGCCGCACGGGUGUGCUUUGAGUGGCGAAAUGUGUGUUUCGCUUCCGCCGCGCCGCGCCGCUCGCUCAUCCUGUGACAUUGCUACGGUUAAUAGCUCUUUGUAUUUUCCAAAAUAGUCUCAGUAAAAGUAAUAUGUAUUAUAUAUAUAUAUAUUGUACAAUUGUAUCCGAGAAUAAUAUCAAGAAAUCACAUUCUUUACAGGAUGUGAGAGAAAUUGAGAUCACGAAAGGUGUUUUUAUUACUAGUGAAAUUUAUCGGGGCGAUGCAUGCACAAGUAUUCUUAUAGGUGUGUGUGUGUGUCUGUCUUGGAGUCUUCCACACUACAAGUAGGAUCAGAACUGCAUUAGCAGCAGGUGCUGGCUUAUGCCCAAGUAUUCUUAUAGUUUUAAGGACGUUAGUGUGUUGGAGAUGAUAGAGCUAAAGCAACAGCCAUUCACCGGCAAGGAGAACUUUACACUAUGGCAAAGAAGGAUGAGGAACACCCGAGGCCAACAAGGUCUCAGUGUUGUCUUGGCAGGCAAAGACAUGAAGCUGGAAACCAUGACAUCAGAGGAGUGGGACAUGGUCGAUGAGUUGGGUAGGGGUUCGAUUGAGAACUAUAUAUAUAGCUGAUGAGGUAUGUUCAAUAUGAUUGAAGACAUUGCGAAGCAAAUAUUGAAAAGCUCAAAUAUAUGUAUGUAGGAAGGUCACUUUCAAAAAAACCUUUUCUUGAAGGAUGAACUCCUAAAUCUUCGAAUGGAAGAGGGUGGAGAUCUCUUGGAGCAUUUAAACACCUUUAAUAAGUGUGUUGCAGACUUGUAGAGAAUGGAAGUUAUGUAUGAUACGGAAGAUAAGGCUAUUUUUGUCUUGAGAUCCUUACAUUCAUCAUACAAGCAGUUCAAGACAACGCUUAAGUUCAGCAAGAGCACGUUCAAAUUUGAGGAGUUUGUGAAAGAUAUUCUCUUCCAUCAUAGGAUAAAUGAUGAGAAGAGCUCUCAAGUUGAAGGUCUAGUUGCAAAGGUCGGUGAGAGGGAUCGUUCAAGUAAGCAUGAAGGUAAGAAAGGUAACAUGAGUAGGUUAAAAUUCAAGGCUAAAGAUGGUUGUUUUGAGCGUGGGUCAAAAGAACACUAGAAGAAGAAUUGUCCCACAUGGAAAGAGAAGAGGAACAAAGGGGAAGAAAUCAGCGGGCACAGUGGGGGUUGUUAUGGAUAUCAAUGGUGAGCUUUUGUGUUGUUGAUAAAACUAAUAGUAAUUUAUUUUCUGUAUCUUCUUGGAGAUUCUCUUCUUGCUGGAUUUUGGAUUCUGGGUUCUCAUAUAGUAUGUGUUCAAACAAGGAGUGUCUUUACACAUACGAGAAAGUUGAUGGUGUUGAAGUUGUGAUAAUCAUAGUCUGAAAUAUCGAUAAUAUCGAGGAAAUAUCGAGGAUAUUUCGGUUUUUUUGAAUCACGGAUAUUUCGGAACAUAUCCAUGUACAUAUCGUAUAAAUAUCGACAAUAUCGACGAUAAUAUCGGAAAAUAUCGAUGUCGAUAAUUUCGCUCACAUUUCAGCAAUAUUUUGUCAAAAUAUUGGUGUAAUAUCGCUAAAAUAUCGAAAAUAUCGAUAUGAAGGAAAAAAAAAGUUAUUAAAAAAAAUAAAAUAAAAAAAAGGAAAAAAGGGGAGAAAAAAGCACAAAGGGGAUAUGAACCCCUCCCAUUUUACUCCUCCAACACCUUAAACACCAUAUCACUUAUGUUUUUGUGAUAAUAUGCUAAAAUAUUUAUAUUUAUAUGGGUGGUAUGUUAACAAUUACAUGCAAAACUAUUUUGGGGAUUUAUUAUUUGAUGACUACUCUUCACAAUACACUUACUCUACACAUAGAAAUGAUGAAGAUAGUGAAAAAUUUGAACCUCGUAUGAACUCUAUGUGGUACUAAGUCAUUCAUGUAUCUUACCAUGCAAUGUAUAAAGUGUAAAAUAUUAUAGUAAAUUAUUAUAUAUGAAUGAUUACGGUGUAUUUAAUCUUUUUUCAUUAAUUAUUACAUAUUUUUUACACUCAUAGUGUUUGCCCGCUUGCUGUAUAAUCAACUUAAAUUAGUUAAAUCCAUCAUGCAAUGCAUUUCCUUCUAAUUUUUUGUGAUAAACUCAUAGAUAAUUGACUAAAUUGACAUUCUCCAACGUUUCAAUAAAAAUUUCCAAGUUUUUCUUACAAUUUCCGUGGUUUUUAUUCAAUUUUUAUCGAUAUCGAUAAUAUCUCGAUAUUUCCAUCGAAAUUUCCAUAUUUUUGGACUACCGAUAUUUCCGAUAUCAUCGAUAUUUUAGACCUUGGUGAUAAUGGACGACUCAGUUUGUAAAGUCGAGGGCACAUGUACGAUUAAGCUAAAGAUGCAUUAUGGCAUUGUUAGGACAUUGAGGAUGGUAAUAUAUGUUUCAAGUUUGCUUAAGAAUCUAAUUUCCCUUGGUACUUUUGAUAAAAAUAGUUACAUGUACAAAGCCAUGAGAGGGAAAAUCAUAGUCUCGAGGGGAAUAUGAAAACAUUACAAAAACAACCCAGCCACAAGGGGCGGGAGAGGAAGAUGUUACGUAGUGGUGGGUGGUUAUUUUGAGAGAUGGAGAUGGGGCAUAUGGCUGGGGCUGGUGGGUAAAACAAAAUAUUAUUUUAUUAAUUUCUAUUUUUAUUUUUCUAAUUUGUAAAAAAAUUUAGAUAAAUUGAAGGUAAUAUGAAGGUCAAUAUAUUUAAUAAUAGUAAUCUUGGAAAAUAAAAGCUUUGCAUUAAUGACAUUGUUUUAGUACUAAGAAAGUGACACAUGGCAUGAGGAGAAGGGAGAAAGUCAAAAAUAGAAAGUUAGAGAGAAGGUUGCUAGCCGAUUCAAAGCUUAAGGGGCAACAUUGGAACAAAAAAUGAUUUUUAAAAAUAAAAAUAAAAGAUUACAUCAUAAAAUAUUUAAAAAGGAAUGUAUUCCUAUAUGGCACAAAAGUCAAAGAACUUGUAUCAAAGUCGCCAAAUUCGAAGAUUAAACCCAACUUAUCAAUGAAAAUUUAGAUCUAUAUCAACUUUUCCAUUUUUUUUUUUAUGUACUCGACAACAUAGAAAUGUCAGUUGUUCAAUGUGUCCACCUUCUUACACCCAAGUUUGAAACUCUCUCAAAAGAUUAUAGUAGUUUAGAGUAGUUUAAAACUAUCGCUCGUGUCCAAAAGCAUUUCAGUUACAGAAGCUUCCAUGCUCUACCUCCAUCCAUAUUGAAUUUUUUAAGUCUUCCGAAAAACAUAACUGCUAUGAGAACUAAUUUACCCUGAUCACUCCAUCUUCCUGAAAAUCCAUACCAUUUGUCCUGGCAAUCGCCAUUAGGAUGGAUCUGUCGUUUACAACUAUAGCCAGUAGUAAACCCUACAUUUCCAUAAGCGCUGCGGGAAACAAAAUAUAAUGGUAAUAAAUUAGCGAAAUUGCAAAGGGCAAAAUGCAUUGCAAUAUUUUAAAAGAAAAUUAAACCAAAUAACACAAGUAACAAAAUCUCAGUUGUAAGCAGUAUUGGUGGAGCCCUUCUUUUCAAAGAAAUACUCAAGAAGGGUUACUGAAGAUUUAUCGGGUUUCAUAUGUCUGAUUUACCUGAUGACUUCAAUCACGAUAUUCAACACAUUGAAAUUGAGGGGAUCUUCCUUCAUCUGUUUCCUCUCAGUUAUGCAUACUAGGACGAUAAAGAUGGCCAGAUACGAGAGCUGUGAGAAUAUGAGAUUCUCCACAACCUUUCCCCUUCUCGUUUUCCUCCUUUCCUGAGGUUGUAGAGGAUUUUGAUCAUCAUCUUUUAUGGGAAGGAACGAAGUGUAAGGAGGAAGGUACCUUCGAUUAAAACAAGAAUCAUUAUCAGAUAAAGGAAAAAAAAAGAAAGCUCAUGAUUAAUAAUAUAUAUAUAUAUAUAUAUAUUCUAAAUUACUCUAAUUUAAAAGGAGUGGGGAUUUGAACUCGGGUGCAAGGGACUGUCCUAACUACUUGGCAUGGUUUCAAAGUUUCAAGGCUACGUGUAGGGGACCUUAAUUCAACAGGGGAUCCAUCUAGUUCCAAUAAAAACUGAGUUGGGAUGUGUCUGUUAGUUGUGUCAUUGAUGAGAUGAGAUUCAAAUAUUUAAGAGAGAGAGAGAGAGAGAGAGAGAGAGAGAGAGAGAGAGAGAGAGAGAGAUAGAGAUUGAAAGAAGCAUGUGAUGUCUUUAGUUAGUGGCAAACUAAGGAACCAACAAAACCUAAACCAAAACUCAUCAUCUUCUUCUAUAAUUCUAGUAGAAAUGCAUGUGGGUCCCUUUCCCCUAGGCCUAGGCUGAGUUGGUGCCUCUAAGUGAGGAUCUUCACCUGCUAGCAUAUGCUUAUUUAAUAUUUCAUUUUCUUUGCCUCUUUUGGCAACUUGGCUAUGAAGACUAGUUUUUUUUUUCAUUCAUUGUUUUUUUGCCCUUGUCAUCCACAAUGUGUUGAAAAAGAGCUAACUAGUCCAACAUUUUCUUGUUUACUAACUAGUUUAACACUCUUACAUAUUGGGAUUAAUUUUCUGUUCAUCUACUUCUGUGUGGAUCAAUUUUAUAUUAAUGAAGUUUUUUUUUUUUUUUUGGAGGCUAAAAAUCAUUAAGUUCCAUGUACUAAAAACUGAAAUUUGGUGAAUCACAUGAUGAUGAUCAUGCGAUAAUUAGUAUGUCACAAAGUAAUAAAAAUAAUUUUUAUGACAGUCUAAUAUGUUAUAUUAUAAAAAUUAUGAUUAAUUAUAAUAAUCAUAGGACUAUAGAUGUAAACGUGAUUCUAUUUAACUAAUAAUUAUUAUGAUUGGCAAUUGGACAGCAAACAUGUUUGUCAAACAAGAAGAUUUUUCACACUUGUAUGUAUGUAUAGAUAAUAAAUAGAUAGAUGCAUGGAUGGAUGGAUGGAAAGAGAAAGAAACUAACAUCAUCACGACGAACAAUACCAAGAUGGCCGGAGAAAUGAUCGAGAGGUCGACAAUAGUUUCACCGGUAUGUCUUGAAUUCACACUUUGAAACAAAGCGCCAAUGAUUUUCUGGUAAGAAUUCAGGCCACUUAAGCUGUCUGAACUCCACUCCAAGGACAAAAAUGCUACCAACUGUACCAUGAUGAACCCGAGAACUGUGACAACCAAAAGUGAAGAAUGGAGACUUGGAAGCAAGUGGAGGAACCCAAGUUUCCUUGUGUUCUUCAAAAGGUAAUUACAUAAGUGUUCUUUCUUUUUGAAAAUUUUCCCCAAAACCCAAAUCGAAAAUCUCAAGCAUGAGGGAAGCAAUGUGUUGCCCAAAAGGACUUGAGGAAUGAGAAUGAGGAGGAGGCCUGUGUUUUUGCUGAAGACCAUCAUGUUUUCAUUGGUUGGAACAAAGCCACAGCUUGAGAAGGUUGAAACUGUGGUGAAGAAAGAGAAUGUGUGCAUGUUUAGCUCCUUGUUUUUUAGUAUGUUUCUUGCACUUGAAAUAACUGCUAGAUAAAGUGAAACCAUUAGCACCCCAAGACCAUGAAUCACUAAAAGAUAACCUACAACCACGCAACCCAAAAACUUGAUUGAAUUAAACUUCAAAGAUUCACCAUCUAAUGGUUUAUCAAUUUGGUCCUGAUCAUAAACCUCCACACCCAAAUUUAAGUCUUGGAAUUCAGGCUUGGAUGCCAAUGAGCCCAAUUCAACAUGAUCAAAAACAAUAUUAUUUGUGGGUGUUGAUGAAGGACUAAUAUCACUGCUGGCUGAAGCAACUUUUUCUUUUGUUAGCAGCAUGAGCUUGAGCUUCCACAGCUGAAGUCCAACCAUGGAGGUAAAGACCUCCCCACCUAUGAACAUCAAAAUGGUUAAAAUGAUGAGCUGGGCAUUGGAGAAAACCUCCAUUUCAACAGUGGACAUGCUAGAAACAGUUGAGGCAGAGACAGAGGUGAAAAACAAAUCUAAAUUCCUAGGCCGAAAAGAAGGAUCGGUUCUUGGCUUCAAAGCCUUGAGAACCCAAAAACCAAGAAAGGAGAGGGUGACAAAAUAGACUAGCUCGAUCCAAAAUGGCUUUGCCCUACGGAGGACGAACCGAUAAUAACAUACAAGUAGAAAACCCAUGGGUUUGCUAAGACAGGCUAGUUUGAGAAAUGAACAACUACAAAGAUGUUGCAAUUUCUUGCCAAAACAAACUAAGUUGUUCAUCUUUGCUUAGUAAUUGAUUUGAAGGAAACGUUCGUGCGGCAUAUGGUUGUGCGUAUAGGGUGGGGUUUUAUAUAUGAAGGAAACGUUCUUGAUGGAGUUUUUUCUCGUCUUUUUUCUUAUUUAUUUAAAAUUGAACACUAACUUGAAUUCAAAAUUUCCUCGAAAGCAGUGAAUAUUUCCUCGCAAACAACGAAUACUUGAGCCAUUAUAUGUCAAAUGAUGAUUGAUUUCUUUGUAGAAUUUUAAGACACGUGGAUGAGAAACAAAAUAAAAAGAAUAUGCUAUAUGUGUGUGAACAUUACGGGUUGGUUUGAGAUUGUUUCUUUAGAAAGUACUUCUGCGCAUAAGCACUUUUAUUAUAAAUUUUUUGAAUUUUCAUACAAAAAAACCCAAGUGCUUCCUAGAAAAGUAUUUAGAAGUGCUUCUCCAUUAAGUGCUUCUAAACUUUUCUGUCAAACGCUAUUAUAAAUGCUUUUAAUUGUCAGAAAGCACUUUUAGCCUCACUCCCAUACACGUCUAACAAUAUGCAUGCAAUUGAGGGGGUGCUAUAGGGUAUUACUAUAUCCAAAACUUACAAAUAUAAAACUGAAUGAUUGAGGAAAUAAUAGAGGUUCACGUGGAGUAAUUUUUAAUUUUUUUUAAUAUCGCAGGUUCUUUCAUUUGAUCAAAUAUUAAUGUAACGGUGCAUCAUCCAAUUGUACGACUUGGUCCAUUGCAUAAAACAUGCAUAUUCAUAUAUAGUACAUCACAACAUGAAUUUUGAUGAGACAUGUUUACAAAUUUUAUUGCCAUAUUCAUAGAAGAUAGUUUUUUAUUACCAAAUCACGUAGUUGUUAGGGAUAUCUCUCUCUCUCCCCCCCCCCUUCUCUCACACACACACAACUUGUCUAUCUUAACCGUACAAGAGCAUAUACUAUAUGCAUACGACGUGCGAAAAACUAAACGCAACGCUUGAGCAUCCAACAUCCCGCUUGAGCCUCCAGAGCACAUAAUCAUUUCAUGUAGCAUCACACCUCUAAAAGCCAAAUCACUAAAGCAAGUAAACCAAGUUUGAAAACCCCCGAAACUUGACCCUCUCAUCUCUUGAAAUAUACUCUGUUGUGCCACGACUAUGUGGCACACGUAGGGCUAGGCAUCUCUACCGAGAAACCUAUCAAACCGGACUAGUUGAAUUGAUUUGGUCCGAUUUUCUUUAUUUUAUUUUUUAAAAAUUAAGUUGUGAACCGGAUUGAAUUGGAAUCUAUUGUUCAAUUCACAGUUUGGCUUUUCUCAAACCGCAAGUUCACCUAAACUGAACCGGUCAGUUUGAAAUAUUGAACUUUUAUAUAAUUUGUGAUAACAAUGGAGUCGAACCCUUAUCCUUCAUAUUGAACUUUUCCUUGAUGAAAUGUGGGUUGACUUUACUGUUUCUUGUACGGCCAUGUUGCACUAGAUUGUGUGAAAUAUCAAAAGCGAACUUAUUAUCACAGUGUAUACUCAUGGUUUUUCUCGGGCUCGAAUCUAGAACCCUCAACAAACUCUUUAGUCAAAGUAACUCAGGAACUCCAUUGAUCUAACUUUGAUUCAAUCGUAUACACAUCCAAAUAGCAUAAAAUUUAUUGUAAAUUAUAGGCACACAAUUGAAUUAUCUGGAUAGGUACAUUAUUAUAAGGUACAUCAUUGAACUAUCUAAACCAUGCCACAAAUACAACGUAAGUCCAUUAUCAAAAUAAAACAUAUAUAUACACAUAUAAUAUGUGAGUUUAUACAAAUCAGCUCCGUUAUUAGUUGGUCACUGGGUCCCUUGUGUUCUUAAAUGAUGCAAUGUCAUCAUCAUGUGCCCCGAGUUCUUUUUUUUUUAUUUAAUAAAUUCUAUGUGAUUGCAUAAUUCAGUUAAAAAAGUCAUUAGCCACAAAGAGCCAAUACAAACUAGCUACAAAAUGGCCAUUACAAUAACGGAGCGGUCUAAUAUCAAAAUUAAGAAAAUCUGGUAUGUCUCCACUAACAAUCAGGCAUGAUCGAAGAAAUUUUGGCAUAGGCAUCCCAAAUAAAUUGCAAACUUAGAAUAAUAAAAAAAAUGAUAAAGCUUGAAAAAACCAAGCCAUAACAAUACAAAUAAAACUCUCACCAAGGAGAGAUGAAAAGCUCUCACAAAUGAGAGAUGAAAAACUCUCACAAAAGGAGAGGUGAAAACUACACAGAGAACCCAAAGAGUCUUUGCAACUUAUUCCAAACAUAAAGAAAUUGUAAAAAAGAUGGUGGUGGAGAUCCGACGCCGAAAUGCAGGUGAAGAUCCGACGCUGAGUCACAACCGCUUAUAAUGGUUGGAUGAAAAUCAUAAAAAAAAAACUAAGACAAAUAGGGAAAAUCUUUUGUCUCUGAAAAUAGGGGAAGAGGUGAAAGGAGGAAGAGAGGAAGAGAGGAAGAGAGGAAAAGAAGAGGGGAGUACUAUAAUUUUGACCAACUAUAUGUUUUGAUCAUAAACAAACAAUUAUAGUACCACGGUAGUACUAUAAUUUGACCAACUAUAUGUUUUGAUUUUCUAGCAAGUUUUUCAACGUCUCUCUCUCAAUUUGGUGGCAAUGGUUUCAGCCACAUUUAUGCAGUCUAAGUUUAUGCAAGUUUGUAGUUUGUAGUCUAAUUUAGACUUAACAGUGUUAAAUUGUAAUUAAUUAAAUGGAUAGGUGUCAAAAGUUAAAAAUUAAAUUGUCGUAUCUUGAAUCAUUAGAUUAUUAGAAUGAUUUAGAUGUCUCGAAAUGCGGGUAAAUAUACAACGUUUAAAUAUAGAGGUUCGGGAUCUCUCUAUGAGAAUUUUAGUUUUAUUUUUUCUUUUUAAUACAACAUGAGUCAUUUAAUACAAAUUUUCGCCCGUAAAUUUUUGGAAUAUGUUAACUGAUCUUAUUGUAUAUCAUAUCUUCCAUGUAGUGAGAUUCAAUACAAGGGAUACUUGUAGUUCAAUUGAUUAAAAGUAUUUACCUUUAAACUUGAUUAAAAUACUAAAUUUGAUUUCUACCUUUCCUACUGCUUGUAUCAAAAAAAAGGUGAGACCUAGCUAGAUAAAUUCCAUAUAUAUAUUAGAGCAAUGAUUGAAAUAAUUGAUGAUUGGAAUAAUUUAUUUCUGCAGUUUCAUUCAGAUUAAUCUGAUGACAUAUAUAUAUAUAUAUACAGAGAGCUUCCAUUGAGGGAUCCCUCAAAUAAGCUUAUUUGAGGGACACCCCUUGUAGGCCCCACUCCGGAUUGUAUUUCACUAAUCCAAACCGUCUAUUUUGUAGAUACUCAUUCAAAGAUCAUCCCUACAAAAAAUCACUUGAAUCCGAUAUCAUUUGACCACUCAAUUAAGUUAUUGAAAUUUUAGCAUUUUCUUGAAGUACCGUGUUCAUUGAUUUUGUAAGAUACAAUUGGAUGUCGAAACGGUUUCCGAUUUGUCUAAUUUUUUGUUAGGAUGAUCUAUGAAUGAAGACCUAAAAAAUAGAUGGUUUGGAUCAUUGGGAAAAAAAUUGUAGGGUACCCUAAAGGGCGUCCCUCAAAUAAUUUUAUUUGAGGAAUCCCUCAAUAGAAGGGGACUAUAUAUAUAUACAACUCAACAGCAAUAAUUAGUUAUUUUCAACUUCAUAUCUGAAACUUCCUAGCUAGUAUGCAAGAUUUUUAUUUUGUUAUCGAAAAACCUGGAAUGUUUUAAUAUUGCAAAUCAUUUUCUUUUUUUGGGUUUGGGAUUUGAAGCUAAGACUCUUUUUAGUGAGCAUCAUGUUUGUACAUGUGGCGAAAGUAAGGGAAAAUUCAAUGGAUAAGAAAUUAUCCUAUCCAUUAACUAAUAAUUGAAGACUGCGGUAGUAAUUAAUAUAUAAAAUGGUAUUAUUCCCACUCCUAGUUCGAUCACCAUGUCCCUUAAUAAUAUUUUUUUAAUUGAAAAUUAUAAGAAAUUAUAUAUUGGAAUUUUCAAGCCGUUUAAGAAUGCUUCUAUAAGAAGUACUUUUGAUAAUAAGCAAUUCUACUUAAAGCGGUUUUAUAAGAAGCACUUUCCAAGUAUUUUUAUUGAAUGGCGUAUGUAGAGCAUGCGUGAAUGACCAACCUCACUCUGAGAUAUCUUCCUUCUUGAAAGUUAUUUGGUUUUUUUAUAUGAUAUCCACAGUGUCUCUAGAUUUGUAAUUCAAUACACAAAUUAAUCGAUUAUGUGAAACGUAAAACAUAAAACUCGAAAUUAUUUCGCAAAUGAGUGAAAACGUUCAUAAUUAUAUAUGUUAUAUUAUAUCAUUUCGAUUUGGAAUUUUAACUUGGAGUUUUAUAUGCUGUAAUGGCAUGUGUACUAAUCCGUAAUUGAAAUCAAAAUAAGGAGUUGAAUUCCUACAUGAAGUACUCCUAUGUUUACUUCACAUAGAGGAAUAAAAAUGUAAGUGGGGUCUACACAAAAUCAGGAAUUCAACUUCUGAUUUUGGAGGAAUUGAACUCUUAGGUGGAAGGUGGUAUUCUAAUUCCUGGAUAACUAACCCAUCUAGAGUCUAUCUAUUUUACCCAUUAUAUCCUCACACAAUUUUUAAAAUUCCAAAUUUGUCAUCUAUUUUAACCCCAUAACAAGAGCAUUUUAGUAAUCAAAUUGGAUUUCAAUUCCGAUUCAUGGUAAUUUAGUAAAUAGCUUAUAAGGAAUCAGUAUCACUCCUACCCCAAUUUCAUAUAGUUUAGUAAACAACUUCAUAGGAAUCCGGAUUCUAACUCUCCUCAAUUCAAAUCAUCUUCAAUUCAAUUCAUUCUCAUCUGAUUACGGAUUAGUAAAUAUGAAAUAAACGUAUAUGCCGAUUAUAUAACAGACAACGAAUUUGUGUUGGAUCUAGGAAUAAUAACUAGGAAAUUAAGAAACUAUAAUUGGCAACAUAUGGCACAAUGUGUGCAUACAUAUUGAGUGUGGAAAAGUGUAGGAAGUAAUGCGCAUAAUUGUACAACCACAUCACAUGAAUAUACAUCUAAAUUGCCAUAGAAAAUUCGAACAUAAGAAUAGUUGCCCACAUGACAUACGGAAUAUAUUUGAAUUGGAAUUAAAGUAGAAAAGGUCUUAGAAAGUUGGUGAGUUUUGUUAUUUACUGGACUGUCGUUUGUCAAGUCCAUGUAGAGACAAUUAAAUGAUUGCCAUUGUUUAUUCUAAAAAGUCUGAUUGAUGAUGGAUGACCAAGGUGACAACAUAUACAGUUGAAUAUUUAGAUACCCCUCCGCGUACAAGCCGUGUCCACUAUUAAGAAAUUGCCUCAUCGAUUGUAUUUAAAAGUUGGUAUGAUAAGUUGGUGUUUCUAGCAUUAUUGUUUACGUAGAUUAAUUUUCAUAUUUAUAAAGGAUCAUGUCACACAUAUAAUGCUUGAAAGUGUAAUGGAUGGCUAGCUUGACUUAGAUAUCGCGUAAUGGAUGGCUAGCUUGACUUAGAUAUCGCAAAUGUGGAGAUUGUAGGGGUUGUAUGUAUCAAUUCAAGUCAUGGAUGUGUAUAGACAUAACUCCACAUUAGAAAAAAUCCACAACAAUCUAAAUGCAGGGUUGCUCAAUACUAAGAGUAACAAAAUGUUUUCGAACAUGUAUUGGACUUGGAUAGUUAGGUUAGAAACAAUAAUAAUGUUGAAUAAAAUUUAACAAUGAUCGAUCUAUUUCAUAACACACAUAAUAUGACAAGUGUACCUAUUAGAAUGGUGGUUUGGUUGAAGUUGAUGAUUUAGCUCUUAAAAUGAUCGAUUUCAUUUUCAAAAAUCUCAUAAAAUGCCUUUGAUUAAUUAAUAUGCUAAAAGAGAUCAUCAUUUAUUAUAUAAGGUAAAAUAAAGAAAAUAUAACUAGUAUGUGUUGCAAAGAAUAUAGUCUGGUGCCUCAAUGGCAGAGGUUCGAAAUCUGUUAGAAACACUUUGUAAUCAAGACAAGCCGAAUUCCGAACAUGGAUUAAUCCUACCCUUUAAAUGUGAGAACAGCUCAUAACAUCUACCAUAUAUAUAUAUAUAUAUCCAUAACAUUACUUUAUCACUUCAUCCUCGUAUCAUGGGUGGUCGGCUACUAGAUUUAAGAUAACGAGAGGCGAGGCUAUUGAUAAUCUUGGCUUCUAGCAUCAUGUAACUUCAUUGCCUUGUCGGUUUGGCACUACAUUAUCUAGUAGAGCCACAUGUCAUUGCCAUCAAAAUCAACCAUCGCAUUCAAGUCCCCAUGCUUUAUAAUUUGUGGGUCUUUGCUUUUAUUAUGAUUAUAUUGUAUUUUAUCAAUAUAUUAGAUAAAUAUUCUUAAAGAAAGAAUUCAAAAUUUUAAUUCAGAAAUUUAAUUACGAAAAAAUAAUAUAUUAAAUUUAGAUUUUUAAUGUGUUUUCUUUAUUUACUUCAAAGGAUAAAAGUCAAAGAACAUGCAUCUGAAAAUAAAAAAUGUGACUUACCCAAUGACAGCUAAUCGUUUUGGACCUAAGAUCGUUUAUAAACUUCAUAUUUGAUAUAUUGCGGGGUUUGUAGGUAAGGUAAUUAAGAGCACUUAUCCUUACACCCGAAGUCAUAUGUUCAAGCUUCUUGCCUCCAAAAAUAGCUUGUAUAAAAAAUAAAAUAAAAAAGAACAUAUUUGAUGUAGGUUGUUUUCUUAGUCAAAAGUAUAUAUCCACAUUUGGAUAGUAAAGCCCAAUUAGUUUAGUACCACGACAUUAAUGAUAGUAGCUCUUAAAGAAGCCCAAGAAGAUCGACCUUGUCUCCCAACACUCUAUUGUACAUUACAUGUAAUUGGGAAGAGCUCUCAUUACAUCCAUUUGCAAAUUUUUAGCUCUUAAAGUCAUGUAAUUGUGAAUGACCUUUGCAUAAAUAUGUAAACAAGGAUUAAAUUGAUGGAGGCUUGUCAAUAACCACUCUAAUUGGAUUUACAUGACUUUGGUCAUGUGUAAAAUUGACGGCGACUGUCGCUUCAAUUUUGCAAGAUGUUUGUGAGUAGUUGGGGGAUCCAUUUCUUAUGGGUGUGAACACUCCCCUGCUUUUGCAAGAAAAGAAAGGGGAAAGUGAUAGAAAACUUUACUAGUUGACUUGUUUAUCUUGGAUAGUUCCUAGUUGCCAAGUUACAACUUGCUUCUGUACGAACUAUUUGCUGCAAACUGCAGUUUAUGUGUCAAGUUGUAGAAUCGUUUUUUCAUUUUCCUUUUUCUUUUCCUUUUUUUUUUUUUUCAGUACAAGUAAUAGUCUAAACUAUAGCAAAUGGAGAAUUUCUCACACAUACACAACUAAGAUGUCAUGAGGGUUGGAACCUGAAACCUCUUAUCCCGUUGGCUCCUCCCUCUUCCAUAUGUUUGCUUCACAUGUGCAACGUCUAAAAUCUUUCUUUGUUGGGUAUAGGAUGUAAAAAUGAUUUGUUGGGCCUAGAUCUUUUU